CAGAGUCAUGCUUGAUGAAGGAGCUGGGUCUUCGGUUCCGAGAAACAAGAUCGAGGAAGGAGUUCGGAAGAUGUUAAUGGGAUGGGCGUAAUAUGGAAAUUCUUAAGUGGAGAUUGGAGAAUACUUUAGUUAGAGCUAUAUAUAUAGCUUGCUCUUCCAGGUUAAGAUGGGCUGCUCCUCCUUAUCUUAUUGAUGCAUGUAACAUGUUAUCUCUGUAUUCUAAAGGGAUAGAAUCGUGUGAAUUAUG
RNAcentral lists this unclassified non-coding RNA (247 nucleotides) under Hevea brasiliensis (rubber tree). The record is from RNAcentral. Lineage: Eukaryota; Viridiplantae; Streptophyta; Magnoliopsida; Malpighiales; Euphorbiaceae.